Molecule: ribosomal RNA, 362 nt
Filed under: uncultured bacterium
Lineage: Bacteria
Description: bacterial SSU rRNA
Rfam family: Bacterial small subunit ribosomal RNA
Source: RNAcentral
GAUGAACGCUAGCGGCAGGCUUAACACAUGCAAGUCGAGGGGUAUUGGUUUUCGGACCAAGAGACCGGCGCACGGGUGCGUAACGCGUAUGCAAUCUACCUUUUGCAGAGGGAUAGCCCCAGAGAAAUUUGGAUUAAUACCUCAUAGUAUAGUACUUUGGCAUCAAGGAACUAUUAAAGUCACAACGGCAAAAGAUGAGCAUGCGUCCCAUUAGCUAGUUGGUAAGGUAACGGCUUACCAAGGCUACGAUGGGUAGGGGUUCUGAGAGGGAGAUCCCCACACUGGUACUGAGACACGGACCAGACUCCUACGGGAGGCAGCAGUGAGGAAUAUUGGACAAUGGGCGCAAGCCUGAUCCAGCC